GUGGGGAAUAUUGGUCAAUGGACGGAAGUCUGAACCAGCCAAGUAGCGUGCAGGAUGACGGCCCUAUGGGUUGUAAACUGCUUUUAUACAGGGAUAAAGUGAGGGACGUGUCCCUUUUUGUAGGUACUGUAUGAAUAAGGACCGGCUAAUUCCGUGCCAGCAGCCGCGGUAAUACGGAAGGUCCGGGCGUUAUCCGGAUUUAUUGGGUUUAAAGGGAGCGCAGGCUGAUGAUUAAGCGUGACGUGAAAUGUAGCCGCUCAACGGCUGAACUGCGUCGCGAACUGGUUAUCUUGAGUGAGUUCGAUGUUGGCGGAAUUCGUGGUGUAGCGGUGAAAUGCUUAGAUAUCACGAAGAACUCCGAUUGCGAAGGCAGCCAACAAGGCCUUUACUGACGCUAAAGCUCGAAGGUGCGGGUAUCGAACAGG
Molecule: ribosomal RNA, 425 nt
Filed under: uncultured rumen bacterium
Lineage: Bacteria
Description: bacterial SSU rRNA
Rfam family: Bacterial small subunit ribosomal RNA
Source: RNAcentral